Stomoxys calcitrans (stable fly) is the source of this 498-nucleotide long non-coding RNA. RefSeq lists it as uncharacterized. The record is from RefSeq and is a predicted model, not a curated record. The transcript is spliced from 3 exons. NCBI's taxonomy places the organism in Eukaryota, Metazoa, Arthropoda, Insecta, Diptera, Muscidae.
UUUUUUGUUCAAAGAGCCAAAUAAAGGCAACGACCCUCAAGUCGGCCCAAAUCAAGAUAUGCUGCUCACUCUUUAAGCUUUCCAAUCAGCCAACUUGAACUUGAUAUGAUAGAUGAAUAAGGACAACAAUAGUACAAUAGUAGUCAGUGUUGGAGUCACUGACGAACACUUGCAACACAUAAACACGGUUUGGCUGAAUGAAUAUAGUCCGUCGGUUAGCUACUGUGUGAAAGUACAAAACGCGGCAAAAGCACUUGAAACCCCCAGCAAUGGUUGGAAGGAUGGUGGAAGUGUCUGGGGGUAGUUUAAGUCUAUCGCAAUCAUCAACCCAGCGUCAGUCAACAUUAAUGGCAGACAACGAACCAGACAGUCUUCCCGUCUGCCAGCCAGUUAUCCAGCCAACCAUGAGCAGCCGGAGUAUAUAAAAUAUUGUAAUACAACUUUACGUUUUCCCCUAAAAAAGUAGGUAAAAAUUUAACAUUUCUUUCAUGUGCUGUA